UACGGAGGGUGCAAGCGUUAAUCGGAAUUACUGGGCGUAAAGCGUGCGUAGGUGGUUCGUUAAGUCCGUUGUGAAAGCCCCGAGCUCAACUUGGGAAUUGCAGUGGAUACUGGCGAGCUGGAGUGCGGUAGAGGAAGGUGGAAUUCCCGGUGUAGCGGUGAAAUGCGUAGAGAUGCGGAGGAACACCGAUGGCGAAGGCAGCCCCCUGGGCUAACACUGACGCUCAGGCACGAAAGCGUGGGGAGCGAACAGG
RNAcentral lists this ribosomal RNA (253 nucleotides) under uncultured bacterium. Its description in RNAcentral is "partial 16S ribosomal RNA". It matches the Rfam family "Bacterial small subunit ribosomal RNA", at positions 524 to 776 of the family's 1533-position model. The record is from RNAcentral.